UGCCAGCAGCCGCGGUAACACCAGCGCCACGAGUGGCAAUCGUGUAUUUGGCCUAAAGCGUCCGUAGCCGGCGCUGUACAUCUUUUGUGAAAUCGUUGCGCUUAACGUAACGGCGUGCAGGAGACACGGCAGUGCUUGAGACCGGGAGGGGAGCGUGGAAUUCCUGGUGUAGCGGUGAAAUGCGUAGAUAUCAGGAGGAACACCUGUGGCGAAGGCGACGCUCUGGCCCGUAACUGACGCUCAUGCACGAAAGCCAGGGGAGCGAACGGGAUUAGAUA
This 278-nucleotide ribosomal RNA is filed under the name uncultured bacterium. RNAcentral describes it as "partial 16S ribosomal RNA". It matches the Rfam family "Bacterial small subunit ribosomal RNA", at positions 506 to 784 of the family's 1533-position model. The record is from RNAcentral.